Molecule: long non-coding RNA, 267 nt
Filed under: Coffea arabica (coffee)
Lineage: Eukaryota; Viridiplantae; Streptophyta; Magnoliopsida; Gentianales; Rubiaceae
Description: long non-coding RNA (CARA_LNC007892)
Source: RNAcentral
AAGCUUUUCAUUAGUGGUCGUGAUUUUGAGGAUCUUGUAGAAUUAUACCCAAUUACGAAGUUAAAUUGUAUUAAUGGAUAUAUACUAUACAUGAUUGUUGGCAUACUAAUUGAAUAGGUUGCUGUCAGUGGGGUUUUCAUUUUGUUUCACUGAGGGCCAACCCCAACCCCAAACUUGUUUAGCUGGGAAUUGGAUUUCAUAGUACUUGUCAUGCCAUUGACUUUGCUCAUCUGAGUUCAUCUUGUGAGGAAAAUAAAAUGUUCUGGG